GAUGGCCUACGUCCAGUUGGUAGAGCAUGAGACUCUUACUCUCAGGGUUGUGAGUUCAGAGGGUUGGACUAGGGGACCCUCAUUGUCACUUCCA
Molecule: non-coding RNA, 94 nt
Organism: Podarcis lilfordi (Lilford's wall lizard)
Lineage: Eukaryota; Metazoa; Chordata; Lepidosauria; Squamata; Lacertidae
Source: the annotation of a GenBank genome assembly